UACGUAGGGGGCAAGCGUUGUCCGGAAUCAUUGGGCGUAAAGCGCGUGUAGGCGGUCCGGUAAGUCGGUUGUGAAAGUCCAGGGCUCAACCCUGGGAUGCCGAUCGAUACUGCCGGACUAGAGUCCGGAAGAGGCGAGUGGAAUUCCCGGUGUAGCGGUGAAAUGCGCAGAUAUCGGGAGGAACACCAAUGGCGAAGGCAGCUCGCUGGGACGGUACUGACACUGAGGCACGAAAGCGUGGGGAGCAAACAGG
RNAcentral lists this ribosomal RNA (253 nucleotides) under uncultured bacterium. Its description in RNAcentral is "partial 16S ribosomal RNA". It matches the Rfam family "Bacterial small subunit ribosomal RNA", at positions 524 to 776 of the family's 1533-position model. The record is from RNAcentral.